RNAcentral lists this ribosomal RNA (481 nucleotides) under uncultured bacterium. RNAcentral's name for it is "bacterial SSU rRNA". It matches the Rfam family "Bacterial small subunit ribosomal RNA", at positions 28 to 506 of the family's 1533-position model. The record is from RNAcentral.
GAUGAACGCUAGCGGCAGGCUUAACACAUGCAAGUCGAGGGGUAGAGGAAGCUUGCUUCCUUGAGACCGGCGCACGGGUGCGUAACGCGUAUACAAUCUACCUUUUACAGAGGGAUAGCCCCAGAGAAAUUUGGAUUAAUACCUCAUAGUAUUUUCGGAUCGCAUGAUUUGAUUAUUAAAGUUCCAACGGUAAAGAUGAGUAUGCGUCCCAUUAGCUAGAUGGUAAGGUAACGGCUUACCAUGGCAAUGAUGGGUAGGGGUCCUGAGAGGGAGAUCCCCCACACUGGUACUGAGACACGGACCAGACUCCUACGGGAGGCAGCAGUGAGGAAUAUUGGACAAUGGGCGCAAGCCUGAUCUAGCCAUGCCGCGUGCAGGAAAUAAGGUCCUAUGGAUUGUAAACCUGCUUUAUACAGGAAGAAACACACCCUUGUGAGGGUACUUGACGGUACCUGUAUGAAUAAGGACCGGCUAACUCCGU